Molecule: ribosomal RNA, 401 nt
Filed under: uncultured bacterium
Lineage: Bacteria
Description: bacterial SSU rRNA
Rfam family: Bacterial small subunit ribosomal RNA
Source: RNAcentral
AAUCAACGCUGGCGGCGUGCCUAACACAUGCAAGUCGAACGCGAGAGGGGCUUCGGCCCCGAUUGAGUGGCGAACGGGUGAGUAACGCGUGGGUGACCUACCUUCGAGUGGGGGAUAACGUCCCGAAAGGGACGCUAAUACCGCAUAACAUCCUGCUUUUGAAUGGGUGGAGAUCAAAGCCGGGGAUCGCAAGACCUGGCGCUUGAUGAGGGGCCCGCGUCUGAUUAGCUAGUUGGUGAGGUAACGGCCCACCAAGGCAACGAUCAGUAUCCGGCCUGAGAGGGCGGACGGACACACUGGGACUGAGACACGGCCCAGACUCCUACGGGAGGCAGCAGUGGGGAAUCUUGCGCAAUGGGCGAAAGCCUGACGCAGCGACGCCGCGUGAGGGAUGACGGCCU